UACAGAGGGUGCGAGCGUUAAUCGGAAUUACUGGGCGUAAAGGGCGCGUAGGCGGUUAUUGACGUGCGAUGUGAAAGCCCUGGGCUUAACCUAGGAAGUGCAUCGCAAACGAAAUGACUGGAGUAUAAGAGAGGGUGGCGGAAUUUCCGGUGUAGCGGUGAAAUGCGUAGAGAUCGGAAGGAACGUCAAUGGCGAAGGCAGCCACCUGGCUUAAUACUGACGCUGAGGCGCGAAAGCGUGGGGAUCAAAC
Molecule: ribosomal RNA, 250 nt
Filed under: uncultured bacterium
Lineage: Bacteria
Description: partial 16S ribosomal RNA
Rfam family: Bacterial small subunit ribosomal RNA
Source: RNAcentral